GAUGAACGCUGGCGGCGUGCCUAAUACAUGCAAGUCGAACGAGACAGUUUACUGUCUAGUGGCGAACGGGUGAGUAAUACAUAAGUAACCUGCCUUUACCUGGGGGAUAACUAUUGGAAACGAUAGCUAAUACCGCAUAGGCAUAGAGAACACAUGUUCUUUAUAUUAAAGAUGCUACGGCAUCGGGAAGAGAUGGACUUAUGGCGCAUUAGCUAGUUGGUGAGGUAACGGCUCACCAAGGCGACGAUGCGUAGCCGACCUGAGAGGGUGACCGGCCACACUGGGACUGAGACACGGCCCAGACUCCUACGGGAGGCAGCAGUAGGGAAUUUUCGGCAAUGGGGGCAACCCUGACCGAGCAACGCCGCGUGAAGGAAGAAGGUUUUCGGAUUGUAAACUUCUGUUAUAAAGGAAGAAUGAUAUAUGGAGGGAAUGCCAUAUAAGUGACGGUACUUUAUGAGAAAGCCACGGCUAACUACG
RNAcentral lists this ribosomal RNA (480 nucleotides) under uncultured Erysipelotrichaceae bacterium. RNAcentral describes it as "bacterial SSU rRNA". It matches the Rfam family "Bacterial small subunit ribosomal RNA", at positions 28 to 505 of the family's 1533-position model. Lineage: Bacteria; Bacillati; Bacillota; Erysipelotrichia; Erysipelotrichales; Erysipelotrichaceae. The record is from RNAcentral.